This 703-nucleotide ribosomal RNA is filed under the name uncultured apicomplexan. Its description in RNAcentral is "bacterial SSU rRNA". It matches the Rfam family "Eukaryotic small subunit ribosomal RNA", at positions 3 to 837 of the family's 1831-position model. The record is from RNAcentral. Lineage: Eukaryota; Apicomplexa.
CCUGGUUGAUCCUGCCAGUAUCUCAUCUUUUUGUUCAAAGAUUAAUCCAUGCAUGUGUUUGGCACAGUCAUAGUGCCUGCGGGUGGCUCAUUAUAAAAGAGUUAACCUAACCUUUGAUUUUUGUGGCUAACUUUGCUAAUUGUGGAGCUAAUACGUUAUAUAAAGUGUUAUCACUACAUCUAUUAAGUUAAAGCAAUCAAUCAGGAUUUUAUUAGGAUGUAAAGACAUGUUCGAUAAAGGAAGGGUCUCUGAUCUAUCAGCUGCAGACGGUUAUGUAUUGGAUAACCGUGGCUUCAACGGAUAACGGGGAAUUGGGGUUUGAUUCCGGAGAGAGCGCAUGAGAAAUGGCGCUUACAGCUAAGGUUGGCAGCAGGAGCGAAAACUUUUCGAAUAAGCAUUGCUUGAAAAGGUGACGAACUGUAUCAACAUCGGCAAUAUGCUGGUGAUUGAAAUGAGCGGCGCAUAACUGACGCUGCGAGUAGCAAGUUCAGGGGAAGUCUGGUGCCAGCAGCCGCGGUAAUACCAGCUGAGCGAAGGAUGGAUAAUGUUGUUGCAGUAAAAACAUUCGUAGUCAUCUACUCCCUUGUGAAUUACGCUGAGCGUUAUAAACGAGAGAUUUGUAAACAAUCCGCGAUUAAAUUGGAACGAUUUAUUCAAAAGUUGAACACGAAAGCGUGGUAAAUCUGAUGAUGCCUUUUCCAGA